UCAAAGUAAGCAGCAGAAGCCGCUGCUGGUGU
This 32-nucleotide non-coding RNA is filed under the name Homo sapiens (human). Lineage: Eukaryota; Metazoa; Chordata; Mammalia; Primates; Hominidae. The record is from RNAcentral.